GAUGAACGCUGGCGGCGUGCCUAAUACAUGCAAGUCGAGCGAACAGACGAGGAGCUUGCUCCUCUGACGUUAGCGGCGGACGGGUGAGUAACACGUGGAUAACCUACCUAUAUGACUGGGAUAACUUCGGGAAACCGGAGCUAAUACCGGAUAAUAUAUUGAACCGCAUGGUUCAAUAGUGAAAGACGGUUUUGCUGUCACUUAUAGAUGGAUCCGCGCCGCAUUAGCUAGUUGGUAAGGUAACGGCUUACCAAGGCGACGAUGCGUAGCCGACCUGAGAGGGUGAUCGGCCACACUGGAACUGAGACACGGUCCAGACUCCUACGGGAGGCAGCAGUAGGGAAUCUUCCGCAAUGGGCGAAAGCCUGACGGAGCAACGCCGCGUGAGUGAUGAAGGUCUUCGGAUCGUAAAGCUCUGUUAUUAGGGAAGAACAAAUGUGUGAGUAACUAUGCACGUCUUGACGGUACCUAAUCAGAAAGCCCCGGCUAACUACGUG
Molecule: ribosomal RNA, 497 nt
Filed under: uncultured bacterium
Lineage: Bacteria
Description: partial 16S ribosomal RNA
Rfam family: Bacterial small subunit ribosomal RNA
Source: RNAcentral